This 253-nucleotide ribosomal RNA is filed under the name uncultured bacterium. RNAcentral's name for it is "partial 16S ribosomal RNA". It matches the Rfam family "Bacterial small subunit ribosomal RNA", at positions 524 to 776 of the family's 1533-position model. The record is from RNAcentral.
UACGUAGGGGGCAAGCGUUGUCCGGAUUUAUUGGGCGUAAAGAGCGUGUAGGCGGCCUGACAGGUCUGCUGUGAAAACUCGAGGCUCAACCUCGAGAUGUCGGCGGAAACCGUCUGGCUAGAGUCCGGAAGAGGAGAGUGGAAUUCCUGGUGUAGCGGUGAAAUGCGCAGAUAUCAGGAGGAACACCGGUGGCGAAGGCGGGUCUCUGGGCAGUAACUGACGCUGAGGAGCGAAAGCGUGGGGAGCGAACAGG